AUUUUGUAAUCAAAAUGUUCGAACGUGGUGAUGACCAUUUCUGUAAUAUCCACCGACCAAGUCGAAAUAUUGAAGGAUUAUUUAUAUUCUAUGACAUUGACUUCGUUUCUAUAUAUAGUGCUCGGAAGCUCUAGAAUUUUAACCGUCAUAGGCUCUACCAGGUGCAACAUCAACUAGUGGUUAUUAGAGCAACCGUCGAGUUCAAGUUAAUUAUGAACAAGAGAUGUUCUGCAAUCUAGAGUUUGUCCACUACAAUCUCUGUUUGGCCCAUAUCAUGCCCUGAGCAGGUGCAACCUCGGCGGAUGUAUGACCCCAAAAAUUAGAGCACCAAACUAUUCUUAGAUAAGUACUGCACUUUAAUGCCACUUAGUUAGACUAAAAAAUAAAAAUAAAACAAUCAUCGGUUAUACCCUAACCCUAAGCAGCCUAAGGCUAAAUCCAGGCUGGCCUGUACCUGUAUGCCUCCACUUGGGCCGCGACUCCAGGCCGCAUUAAGUCGGUACUUGACCGGCGAGUGCCAUGCCUCGGCGCUGAAAAGAGCGAGAGGGAGAGGACACCUGAUCUGGUGGGGGGGCAAGGAGAGAUACAGAGAGAAAAGAAGGCGGCGGCUGGGAGAAGGGGAGGAAUAAAAGGAAAGUAAGGUUGAGAUUGGAUGUUUUUAUAGGUGUGGUUGCGAGGUAUCCCCUGA
This 688-nucleotide long non-coding RNA is filed under the name Brachypodium distachyon (stiff brome). RNAcentral's name for it is "long non-coding RNA (BDIS_LNC000537)". The record is from RNAcentral. Lineage: Eukaryota; Viridiplantae; Streptophyta; Magnoliopsida; Poales; Poaceae.